GUAGGUGGCAAGCGUUGUCCGGAAUUAUUGGGCGUAAAGCGCGCGCAGGCGGUUCUUUAAGUCUGAUGUGAAAGCCCACGGCUCAACCGUGGAGGGUCAUUGGAAACUGGAGAACUUGAGUACAGAAGAGGAAAGCGGAAUUCCACGUGUAGCGGUGAAAUGCGUAGAGAUGUGGAGGAACACCAGUGGCGAAGGCGGCUUUCUGGUCUGUAACUGACGCUGAGGCGCGAAAGCGUGGGGAGCAAACAGGAUUAGAUACCCUGGUAGUCCACGCCGUAAACGAUGAGUGCUAAGGUGUUAGGGGGGUUUUCCGCCCCCCUUAGUGCUGCAGCUAACGCAUUAAGCACUCCGCCUGGGGAUACGGCCGCAAGGCUG
RNAcentral lists this ribosomal RNA (375 nucleotides) under uncultured organism. RNAcentral describes it as "partial 16S ribosomal RNA". It matches the Rfam family "Bacterial small subunit ribosomal RNA", at positions 527 to 896 of the family's 1533-position model. The record is from RNAcentral.